Molecule: ribosomal RNA, 465 nt
Filed under: Vreelandella stevensii
Lineage: Bacteria; Pseudomonadati; Pseudomonadota; Gammaproteobacteria; Oceanospirillales; Halomonadaceae
Description: partial 16S ribosomal RNA
Rfam family: Bacterial small subunit ribosomal RNA
Source: RNAcentral
CCUACGGGUGGCAGCAGUGGGGAAUAUUGGACAAUGGGCGAAAGCCUGAUCCAGCCAUGCCGCGUGUGUGAAGAAGGCCUUCGGGUUGUAAAGCACUUUCAGUGGGGAAGAAAGCCUUGGGGCUAAUACCCUCGAGGAAGGACAUCACCCACAGAAGAAGCACCGGCUAACUCCGUGCCAGCAGCCGCGGUAAUACGGAGGGUGCGAGCGUUAAUCGGAAUUACUGGGCGUAAAGCGCGCGUAGGCGGUCUGAUAAGCCGGUUGUGAAAGCCCCGGGCUCAACCUGGGAACGGCAUCCGGAACUGUCAGGCUAGAGUGCAGGAGAGGAAGGUAGAAUUCCCGGUGUAGCGGUGAAAUGCGUAGAGAUCGGGAGGAAUACCAGUGGCGAAGACGGCUUUCUGGACUGACACUGACGCUGAGGUGCGAAAGCGUGGGUAGCAAACAGGAUUAGAUACCCUGGUAGUC